AGAACGAACGCUGGCGGCAGGCUUAACACAUGCAAGUCGAGCGCCCCGCAAGGGGAGCGGCAGACGGGUGAGUAACGCGUGGGAACGUACCCCUCGGUUCGGAAUAACUCAGGGAAACUUGAGCUAAUACCGGAUACGGCAUUCAAGAGAAAUCUUGGCGGCGAAAGAUUUAUCGCCGAGGGAUCGGCCCGCGUCCGAUUAGCUAGUUGGUGUGGUAAUGGCGCACCAAGGCGACGAUCGGUAGCUGGUCUGAGAGGAUGAUCAGCCACAUUGGGACUGAGACACGGCCCAAACUCCUACGGGAGGCAGCAGUGGGGAAUAUUGGACAAUGGGCGCAAGCCUGAUCAGCCAUGCCGCGUGAGUGAUGAAGGCCUUAGGGUUGUAAAGCUCUUUCGCCCACGACGAUAAUGACGGUAGUGGGAGAAGAAGCCCGGCUAACUUCGUGCCAGCAGCCGC
Molecule: ribosomal RNA, 456 nt
Filed under: uncultured bacterium
Lineage: Bacteria
Description: SSU rRNA
Rfam family: Bacterial small subunit ribosomal RNA
Source: RNAcentral